Long non-coding RNA from Oncorhynchus keta (chum salmon), 942 nucleotides. RefSeq lists it as uncharacterized. Lineage: Eukaryota; Metazoa; Chordata; Actinopteri; Salmoniformes; Salmonidae. The transcript has 4 exons. The record is from RefSeq and is a predicted model, not a curated record.
AUAUCAUCUAUUGAAUAAUAACCUGUGAAGUGAACUCACCGAUUACUGUACACUGAAAACAGGUUGUUUACACUCUCCAUGUCCCAAAUGGCACCCUAUUCCCUACUUAGUGCCCUACUUUUGUCCAGGGCCCAUAAGGGUCUAUAUAGUGCACUACCUUUGACCAGCACCCCAUCGGGAAUAGGGUGUAAUUUGGUACACAGACAAUAACUGUCUGGACACUGAUGUCCCCUCAUCUUUGUAUAGCUGAUGGACUUCAUGACACAAUGAAUAUGACAACAACAACACUCCCCUCUCUGUAAGGUCAUGUUCCCCUCUCCUAACAAUAUGACCUCUUCCUCAUCAUCUCUCAGUGUCCUAGUAAACCAGGUCUGAUAGGACACAGUCCUCUCCUAACAAUAUGACCUCUUCCUCAUCAUCUCUCAGUGUCCUAGUAAACCAGGUCUGAUAGGACACAGUCCUCUCCUAACAAUAUGACCUCUUCCUCAUCAUCUCUCAGUGUCCUAGUAAACCAGGUCUGAUAGGACACAGUCCUCUCCUAACAAUAUGACCUCUACCUCAUCAUCUCUCAGUGUCCUAGUAAACCAGGUCUGAUAGGACACAGUCCUCUCCUAACAAUAUGACCUCUUCCUCAUCAUCUCUCAGUGUCCUAGUAAACCAGGUCUGAUAGGACACAGUCCUCUCCUAACAAUAUGACCUCUACCUCAUCAUCUCUCAGUGUCCUAGUAAACCAGGUCUGAUAGGACACAGUCCUCUCCUAACAAUAUGACCUCUACCUCAUCAUCUCUCAGUGUCCUAGUAAACCAGGUCUGAUAGGACACAGUCCUCUCCUAACAAUAUGACCUCUACCUCAUCAUCUCUCAGUGUCCUAGUAAACCAGGUCUGAUAGGACACAGUCCUCUCCUAACAAUAUGACCUCUACCUCAUCAUCUCUCAGUGUCC